UACGUAGGGGGCAAGCGUUGUCCGGAAUCAUUGGGCGUAAAGAGCGUGUAGGCGGUCCGGUAAGUCGGUUGUGAAAGUCCAGGGCUCAACCCUGGGAUGCCGAUCGAUACUGUCGGACUAGAGUUCGGAAGAGGCGAGUGGAAUUCCCGGUGUAGCGGUGAAAUGCGCAGAUAUCGGGAGGAACACCAAUGGCGAAGGCAGCUCGCUGGGACGUUACUGACGCUGAGACGCGAAGGCCAGGGGAGCAAACGGG
Molecule: ribosomal RNA, 253 nt
Filed under: uncultured bacterium
Lineage: Bacteria
Description: partial 16S ribosomal RNA
Rfam family: Bacterial small subunit ribosomal RNA
Source: RNAcentral